RNAcentral lists this long non-coding RNA (1033 nucleotides) under Oryctolagus cuniculus (rabbit). RNAcentral's name for it is "lncRNA (ENSOCUG00000033337.1)". Lineage: Eukaryota; Metazoa; Chordata; Mammalia; Lagomorpha; Leporidae. The record is from RNAcentral.
CAGGCUCGCAGACCCGGGUUUGCUGCUCUUGCGCUCAGCUCCCCCUCCCUGGGGAGUCCCUUGCUCCUGGGGUUGGACCAGACCACAGCAGCGGGCCGGGCGGCAUUAUUAAGCUUUGGACAGUAGAGGGCGCUGGCGGGACGCCGCGGAGGAAGGGGCCUCUGCUCGCAGGGCCCAGGGCUCCCUCCAGCCUCUCCUUGUUCCAGUUGCUGCUUUCCCUACCGGGAGUGAAUAUGUGGGGGAGAAGCAUUAGGUGGGGCCUAGCCCCAGCCUUGCAGCCAGGCGCCGCGGUCCCUCUGCCACCUGGCAGCCCACCUGGACCUGUGGCCACUGCACUGUGGCCCACCGGACGCCUCCACCAGCACCAGCGCCGCGCACCCCUUUGCCUGGGCUCAGAGAGGGGUCCCUUGCCCGCACUGUGUCCGGCUCCACAGGAACCCCAGCAACCCCGGACCCCAGCCUCGGGAGGGCCCCCUCCACGCUGGUCCUCCUCAGCCCUGGGCACCAGGCAGGGCCCUCACCUCCCGGGAGCCCCGCCUCCUCCUCCUGUCCUCAGUCCUGCUAUCAAGUGUGCCCCAUUCAGUCGCUCUGGGGCUCCUUCUCCAGUCGAGCUCUGACCCAGAGGCCUCCCCAGGCACCCUGGGGAGAACCAAGACCCUGCGGUCGCGGUCCCAGGGCUGGGGGUGACGCCAGCUCCGUGCUGUCUGCUGCGUGGUGGGCAAGCAGCUGCACCCUGCCCCGCCCCCCGGGGCUCUGUUCCCUCCCCCAGGAGAAAAAUCCCUCCCCUCCCCACCACAUAAGGGGCAGGGCGCCAGGUGCCGGGCCUGCUGGGGCUCCAGACGGCGGAGCAGCACCUUGCGUUGUGAGCACUGGGAGGCCGGCUUGCGGCGGGGUGCGGGAGGGAGCCCCUCUGUUCCCGCUGGCCACAGGCCCUGAGGCCAGCACCUGCAGGAGGCGCCCAGCUGGGCCACAAGGCUGCAGGCCACAGACUGACGGGUGCCCCGGGCCUGGCCCUGACUCUUCCCACUCCUCU